This 46-nucleotide non-coding RNA is filed under the name Schistosoma haematobium. Lineage: Eukaryota; Metazoa; Platyhelminthes; Trematoda; Strigeidida; Schistosomatidae. RNAcentral also lists the same sequence under 1 other name. The record is from RNAcentral.
GCACUGCUGAGGAGUCCCAGACUAGGGCGAAACGGCCGUCGAGUGU